Molecule: ribosomal RNA, 44 nt
Filed under: Piptochaetium ruprechtianum
Lineage: Eukaryota; Viridiplantae; Streptophyta; Magnoliopsida; Poales; Poaceae
Description: partial 28S ribosomal RNA
Source: RNAcentral
GCGACCCCAGGUCAGGCGGGACUACCCGCUGRGUUUAAGCAUAU